RNAcentral lists this transfer-messenger RNA (333 nucleotides) under Neoasaia chiangmaiensis. It matches the Rfam family "Alphaproteobacteria transfer-messenger RNA". From Rfam's summary of the family: Bacterial tmRNA, also known as 10Sa RNA or SsrA, is named for its dual tRNA and mRNA-like properties. Its role is to liberate the mRNA from a stalled ribosome. The record is from RNAcentral. Lineage: Bacteria; Pseudomonadati; Pseudomonadota; Alphaproteobacteria; Acetobacterales; Acetobacteraceae.
CACCUUGCCGACGGCCUGAUCCUCCACUAUAUCCCGUGAUGCCGGAGCGCCUCGGCGCUUGGCUAUGGCGAUAAACGGUAAGUGGAAUAAUCGUUGUGGACCCGGGGGCAGUGCCCGGCGUCUCCACCAAAUUCUCGCUUCAACCCUCGGGCGGCGAGCAUGGGGACGAAACAGGCUCGACACGCGUGGUAAAGACUUAUCUUUUGCCCGGCAUUGUACCGCCGUUAUCGGGCUAAAUCACAAGUGCCAACGAUAACACGAAGGUGCUCGCUGCCGCUGCAUAAGCGGUAAGCGCGGUUCGGGAGGGCACCGGGCAACAGAAGCCCUCCCACA